CACGUAGGGGGCGAGCGUUGUCCGGAUUUAUUGGGCGUAAAGAGCUCGUAGGCGGCUCGGUAAGUGAGGUGUGAAAACUCCAGGCUCAACCUGGAGACGCCACCUCAUACUGCCGUGGCUAGAGUCCGGUAGGGGAGCAUGGAAUUCCAGGUGUAGCGGUGAAAUGCGUAGAUAUCUGGAGGAACACCGGUGGCGAAGGCGGCAUCCUGGACCAACACUGACACUGAGGAGCGAAAAGCCAGGAGAGCAAAACGGG
RNAcentral lists this ribosomal RNA (256 nucleotides) under uncultured bacterium. RNAcentral describes it as "partial 16S ribosomal RNA". It matches the Rfam family "Bacterial small subunit ribosomal RNA", at positions 524 to 777 of the family's 1533-position model. The record is from RNAcentral.